CUUGGCCAGGUGAUAGACAAGCCGCGAAGUGAAGUGACUGCAACUCCGGUUCUCCAUAGGUUCCCCCAGUUUUCCCACUUUCCCGAUGCGAACUGAUGUGAUGUGAUGUUAUGUGAUGUGAUGUGUUGCUGUGCGAUGUCCAAUGCAAUGCGAUGCGAUGCGAUGUGAUGCGGCGAGGACAAGGACAAGACAUUCGGAUGUGUCAGUUGCGACAGUUAGAACAAAGCGAUAUUUAACCAAGGUGACAGGUGGAUGGUGGCUAUAAUGGUUGCUUGGUGUGCGGGGGGCAGAAACCGGAACAGUGCGCCUGAAAGGUGUGCGGUCGCAGAACAACAAACACCGUAGCGACAACAACGAAAUGCAAUUAGCAAAUAGAUGUGGCCGUGUGAUGCGAUGCCUUGC
Drosophila melanogaster (fruit fly) is the source of this 402-nucleotide non-coding RNA. Lineage: Eukaryota; Metazoa; Arthropoda; Insecta; Diptera; Drosophilidae. The record is from Ensembl.